Molecule: long non-coding RNA, 635 nt
Organism: Manduca sexta (tobacco hornworm)
Lineage: Eukaryota; Metazoa; Arthropoda; Insecta; Lepidoptera; Sphingidae
Exons: 2
Source: RefSeq, a predicted model, not a curated record
AUUUCAGAGCGUUGGCCAUAGCGUUACCCCUGACGUGCGGUCGUUUGGCGGUAUUUGCAGGCAUCCAGAUCCUCAACGUCUUACUGACGAUUAACUGCGACGUUGGCUUCUACGUUUUCGCAACUAUUUACGCCUCAUCUGCGAUAGUUGCAUCGUUCCUGCCAGACGACAGAAAAUUAGUACCUACAGUGGCGCCAUCUGAAGAUAAAGAAUUAACACAGAAAGAAGAAAUGCCACAAAGAUCUAUGACUGAACUUUGAAAAGAACAUAAUUUAAUACUCAUGUGUGUUUUGAUGUGAUGUUUUAAGCUGGGGUCACACUAAUCUCUACGUCACGUUUACGAGUACUCAUAUUUUAUUAAAUAAUUUUUUAAUAGAUUUUUUAUGGAAAAAUGUUGGAAGAUUAAUAUUUGGUCAAAUGUUGUGUCCAUGUUCCAUGUAUUGCUAUACCACCUACGGUAAACUGUAAACUCUUCAAGCUCAUUAAUCUUUAUAAUUAUAAACUGUGCAUUUUCAUUAUUUUUAUUUAAUCCUGCAUAAAUAAAAGGUUUUAAUGCUUCAAAAUUAAGAGAUUAUGUUCCCAAAACAAUAAUAUUUAUAAAAAUAUAUUUAAUAAAUUGUAAAUACUUACCUAUU